RNAcentral lists this ribosomal RNA (556 nucleotides) under uncultured bacterium. RNAcentral's name for it is "partial 16S ribosomal RNA". It matches the Rfam family "Bacterial small subunit ribosomal RNA", at positions 355 to 896 of the family's 1533-position model. The record is from RNAcentral.
UGGGGAAUCUUGCGCAAUGGGCGAAAGCCUGACGCAGCGACGCCGCGUGGGGGAGGAAGCUCUUCGGGGUGUAAACCCCUGUCAGGAGGGAAGAAUGGGCACCCGAGGAAAUGCGGGUGUUUUGACGGUACCUCCAAAGGAAGCACCGGCUAACUCUGUGCCAGCAGCCGCGGUAAUACAGAGGGUGCGAGCGUUGUUCGGAAUUACUGGGCGUAAAGCGCGCGCAGGCGGUCCUUUAAGUCUACCCGUGAAAUGCCGGAGCUCAACUCCGUGCACGCCGGGGGGAUACUGGAGGACUGGGAGACGAGUAGAGGCAAGCGGAAUUCCGGGUGUAGCGGUGGAAUGCGUAGAUAUCCGGAAGAACACUGGAGGGCGAAAGGCGGCUUGCUGGGCUUGGUCUGACGCUGAGGCGCGAAAGCGUGGGGAGCGAACAGGAUUAGAUACCCUGGUAGUCCACGCCGUAAACGAUAGGCACUAGACGCGGGUGGGAUCGACCCCUUCCGUGUCGCAGCUAACGCGCUAAGUGCCCCGCCUGGGGAGUACGGCCGCAAGGCUG